AGGCGACCGCACUCACUGAUUCUGGGGCCCGUGUAUCUCCAGGUUCCCAGGACUGUCACAGUGAACUGCUCCGUCCCCAGCUGAGACUUGGUCCCCCACGCAGCCCCUUACCUCCCCGUUCCAUAUUCCCAGAUGACUCAAUGUGAAGGUUCUUGUUUAUUGCUGAGCAGAGGAAUAGUUUUUCUUGCUAGUUUUUCUCAGUGAUUUGAAUGUUGUUUUUGAAUUAUAGCCAAAGGGAGAAGGGGACGAGGUCAGAACUAGAAAAAUAUGUCCUGGAAUCUUCUCAACUGGAGAGAGGAAGAGGACCGGCAGGAGCAUGAGCUCGGGAAAGGACAUGACAGGUUUGGUCUCAGGGAGAAGCUAAGCGGAGUGGGCUCCCACCUUGAACUGGUAAGGGCAGAAGGGUCUUUGCCUGCUGCCUUCCUGCUGGCCGUGUCCCACUGUGGACAAGGCGGCACAUGUCCACGGGAGGAGAAGGGCGCCCCCGCGAGUCGGAUACGUCGGGGGGUCCGGGAAGGAUGGUCACACACAAAUGUGAAACCUCAAGCCAUAGAUCUGUGGAAAGAUUUUGUGCCAAAUAAAACACAUAUUGGAAG
This 596-nucleotide long non-coding RNA is filed under the name Chinchilla lanigera (long-tailed chinchilla). Its description in RNAcentral is "lncRNA (ENSCLAG00000028340.1)". The record is from RNAcentral. Lineage: Eukaryota; Metazoa; Chordata; Mammalia; Rodentia; Chinchillidae.